UAAUUAAGACUUGUUCAUCAGAUUUGCAAGAGUUGAUUGAUUUGGCUUGGAUUUGCGUUACUUGGUCCUAUCAACACUGAUGACACCACAAGUGCUGCUGAUAUGGAUUAGAAGAUCAAGAUUCAAGACUACUGCAUCGCUAGUUGCACUGCUAGUUGUUCUUUUUUCAGAUUUUCUCAUUUUCAAGACUUAGUGUGUGUGUAUGUGGCUACUGCCUACUGCUAAUUGUUGUUUUUUCGGAUUUCCCAGACUUUAGUGUGUGUGAUUGUGAGAUUGUCAGUUUGUGUGCUACACUGCUACUGCCUACUGCUACUCAGGUUUUCAAGACUUUGUUUGUUUGGUUUGCUAGUAAUAUAGCUACUUAUUAA
Papaver somniferum (opium poppy) is the source of this 368-nucleotide long non-coding RNA. RefSeq lists it as uncharacterized. NCBI's taxonomy places the organism in Eukaryota, Viridiplantae, Streptophyta, Magnoliopsida, Ranunculales, Papaveraceae. The record is from RefSeq and is a predicted model, not a curated record. The transcript is spliced from 2 exons.